UGCUGCCAUAUCACGUUGAAACACCUGUUCCCGUACGAUCACCGAAGUUAAGCCACGUCGAGGCUGGUCACUACUUAGAUGGGUGGUCGCUUGGGAAUACCAGGUGUU
Non-coding RNA from Acanthosepion pharaonis, 108 nucleotides. The record is from the annotation of a GenBank genome assembly. Lineage: Eukaryota; Metazoa; Mollusca; Cephalopoda; Sepiida; Sepiidae.